CACGUAGUUAGCCGGGGCUUCUUAGUCAGGUACCGUCAUCUUCUUCCCUGCUGAUAGAGCUUUACAUACCGAAAUACUUCUUCACUCACGCGGCGUCGCUGCAUCAGGGUUCCCCCCCAUUGUGCAAUAUUCCCCACUGCUGCCUCCCGUAGGAGUUUGGGCCGUGUCUCAGUCCCAAUGUGGCCGGUCGCCCUCUCAGGCCGGCUACUGAUCGUCGCCUUGGUGGGCCGCUGCCCCGCCAACUAGCUAAUCAGGCGCGGAUCCAUCUUAUACCACCGGAGUUUUUCACACUGCGCCAUGCGGCGCCGUGCGCUUAUGCGGUAUUAGCAGCCAUUUCUGGCUGUUAUCCCCCAGUAUAAGGCAGGUUAUCCACGUGUUACUCACCCGUCCGCCGCUAAGUCAAUCCUGAUUCCAUCCGAAAACUUCAUCAAGAUUGCUCCGCUCGACUUGCAUGUGUUAGGCACGCCGCCAGCGUUCAU
This 479-nucleotide ribosomal RNA is filed under the name uncultured Lachnospiraceae bacterium. Its description in RNAcentral is "partial 16S ribosomal RNA". The record is from RNAcentral. Lineage: Bacteria; Bacillati; Bacillota; Clostridia; Lachnospirales; Lachnospiraceae.